This 811-nucleotide ribosomal RNA is filed under the name uncultured Sphingobacteriales cum 'Crenotrichaceae' bacterium. RNAcentral's name for it is "bacterial SSU rRNA". It matches the Rfam family "Bacterial small subunit ribosomal RNA", at positions 58 to 863 of the family's 1533-position model. The record is from RNAcentral. Lineage: Bacteria; Pseudomonadati; Bacteroidota; Sphingobacteriia; Sphingobacteriales.
CAAGUCGAGGGGCAGCAGGUCUGUAGCAAUACAGAUGCUGGCGACCGGCAAACGGGUGCGGAACACGUACAGAACCUUCCUUCGAGCGGGGAAUAGCCCAGAGAAAUUUGGAUUAAUACCCCAUAGUAUUAUGGAGUGGCAUCACUUUGUAAUUAAAGAUUUAUCACUUGAAGAUGGCUGUGCGGCUGAUUAGGUAGUUGGCGGGGUAACGGCCCACCAAGCCUGCGAUCAGUAACUGGUGUGAGAGCACGACCAGUCACACGGGCACUGAGACACGGGCCCGACUCCUACGGGAGGCAGCAGUAAGGAAUAUUGGUCAAUGGACGCAAGUCUGAACCAGCCUUGCCGCGUGGAGGAUGAAGGCCCUCUGGGUUGUAAACUUCUUUUAUAUGGGACGAAAAAGGGUCUUUCUAGAUCAACUGACGGUACCAUUUGAAUAAGCACCGGCUAACUCCGUGCCAGCAGCCGCGGUAAUACGGAGGGUGCAAGCGUUAUCCGGAUUCACUGGGUUUAAAGGGUGCGUAGGUGGGUUGAUAAGUCAGUGGUGAAAUCUCCGAGCUUAACUUGGAAACUGCCAUUGAUACUAUUGGUCUUGAAUAUUGUGGAGGUCAGCGGAAUAUGUCAUGUAGCGGUGAAAUGCUUAGAGAUGACAUAGAACACCAAUUGCGAAGGCAGCUGGCUACACAUAUAUUGACACUGAGGCACGAAAGCGUGGGGAUCAAACAGGAUUAGAUACCCUGGUAGUCCACGCCCUAAACUAUGGAUACUCGACAUACGCGAUACACUGUGUGUGUCUGAGCGAAAGCAUUAA